UUCCAUAGAAACACUGCUGUCCGUUAAAGGCAGCAGUUGAUAGCUUCACACUCAGCACCAACUGAUCCCAGGUAGACCACAUUGGAUCUGCUCAGAAUCAGCUACAGCUACACAUUUAUCAAAGGGCUCUGCCUGCACUACUGGCUUUCUGAAACUGCUGUUUAACUGGCUUCUGAAUCGGAAACUGCGGCUUAGUUAACUGUUGAACAGGCUUCUGAAGUGGAAAUUGCGGGUUAGGUAGGUGUUGAACUGGCUUCUGAAGUGGAAAUUGCGGGUUAGGUAGGUGUUGAACUGGUUUCUGAAGUGGAAACUGCUGGUUAGUUAGCUGUUGAACAGGCUUCUGAAGCGGAAACUGUUGGUUAGUUAGCUGUUGAACUGGCUUCUGGAGCUGAAACUGCUGGUCAGUCUGCUGGAGCUGAAACUGCUGGUCAGUCUGCUGCAUCAUCAGAGCUUGAGCAUCCUGAAGUGACUUACUCCACUGUGGAACAGCAUGACAGAAAGCACAGACCAACGAAAUCUGAACCAAACACCAACUUCCAGCCAUUGUUCAACAGCUAAACACAAA
Molecule: long non-coding RNA, 565 nt
Organism: Carassius auratus (goldfish)
Lineage: Eukaryota; Metazoa; Chordata; Actinopteri; Cypriniformes; Cyprinidae
Exons: 2
Source: RefSeq, a predicted model, not a curated record